Molecule: long non-coding RNA, 474 nt
Filed under: Medicago truncatula (barrel medic)
Lineage: Eukaryota; Viridiplantae; Streptophyta; Magnoliopsida; Fabales; Fabaceae
Description: lncRNA gene917
Source: RNAcentral
UCUUGGGGAUACCUGCAGCCUGUCAUAAAAACAAGUAGGUCACUAAUCAAGAAGUUAUAAUAUGUAAUUUAUGGAUAUAUAGUUGAAGACUAUAAAAGUCUUGAGGUUUUCUAGAGUUCCAAGUUUUAUUCAGGAACAAUUGAAUUGUUACUAAUUACUUAUGAAAAUAUUCCAAGAAAUCAAAUAGCCAUAUAUAAAAACUUGUCAAGCCAUAUGUAUAACCAAUCAUUAAAGUGUUGAACCAUAUGUAAAACCCCGUCAUUUGAGUGUUGAGCCAUAAGUUUUUUUUGAAAUGGCAAACAUUAUUCUCGUCGAGUAUAUGCAAGACGCACAAAUCUCGCGGAAAAGGAAAGAAAACUACAACACGGUGCCGCUUAUAUACGGAACACAACCACACCAGAAAAAAUAACCCGAAAAAAACUGCAGGGCCUCGCUCACUGAGGCUGAGAUAUACUUGAUACCACCACACAUACC